UCCUUGUUAGUACAAUGGCUAGUAUAGGGCACUCUCAUAACCUUCACGAAUCGAAGGAUGGUGUCUGCUCAGAUCGGGGUUCAAUUCCCCGGCAGGGAA
This is a non-coding RNA of Violaceomyces palustris, 99 nucleotides long. The record is from the annotation of a GenBank genome assembly. NCBI's taxonomy places the organism in Eukaryota, Fungi, Basidiomycota, Ustilaginomycetes, Violaceomycetales, Violaceomycetaceae.